CAUAAAGCUCACGCAGUAUCCUUUAUAAGCAGUUUGUAGGUCUCCUUCCUUGAAUUUCUUUCAAGCUCCCAAUAGCCAACGGGAAGCCGAACACACUUUCACACUAAAAAUGGGAAUUCAGGGAAGUAUCAUCAGGUUCUGAACUAUGUUUUAAGACUCAAGUCAAACACCAAAACUGAGUCACCACCUAAUGUGUGUGCAGCACGUGUUAGGGGCAGUUUGCUAUGUGAUGACUUGAACGACAGUUUCUCUCUCCUGGGACUUUCAUAAAAUUCCUUUGGUGUUGCCACACACUUCUGGGAUUCUCCACAAUGAGCCCAUUGCUGAGCCUGUCUCUGCAGAUGUUUAUUAAACAAGCAGAAUUUAGGGGAAUAGUCAGCAAGUCUUCACCAAGUUCUUCUAUGUGGGCAGCUUUUGUGGUGUGGCCAGGGUAUGAGGAUAAAGAGCAACUUGGAAAAGUCUGGGGAGAAUUUAAGUAGCCUGAAGAGUCUCUGUCCCUCAGGGAGGAAAGCUGAGAAAUCGUUUCCAUAUUUAUGUGUCAAUUGCUUUAUGUCCAUUUAUUUGAUCUUCCUUACAAAAUCUUGCAUAGAAAAUUUCAUCCUCAUUUUACAGAUGAGGAAACUGAAGCUUAGAGAGCUUAGGUCACUUACCCAAGUUCAUCCAGGUAGCAAAGUGUCAGGUCUGGAUUUAAAUCAGGUUGAGUCCAGUACCUUUUUCUUUUUUAUAUCACGCUGCCUUUCCCUAGAAGCCAAAAUUUCUAGGAAAUAAAUGAACUGCAAUGACAAAGCAGCACAUUUUCCCAUGUUCUUUGCUCUUGAUCCCUACCUACUCUUUUCCCGGAAAUAGACAAUAAAGCCACCAGGAUACCUGAGACAGCCUUGGUCAUCUUUGUACCGUAGCCAGCACCAUGGAUUUUUGCCUAGUUACUUUCCCAUCAGAUUUUAACAGAAAGAACACUGUAUUUGCCAGCUCAGUACAGCAUAUCUCUGGCUCUGUUUUCUCCCCAGCAGGAAUCCGAGGGUCUGUCUCUGUAUGUGUUAUCAUCAGACUGGUAAAGAGUUACAUGUGUCAGCACAGAAGAAAAGAGCUUUGAUGUGAGUUCAGCAUGUAAGAAAGCCUUCAUUGCUGUCAUGCUUUCAACAGGUUCCCCACGACCCACCACUGCCUGCCAAGAUGAAUGUAAAUGAAGCAGAAGUCUCACAGGCUGGGCACAGUAGGAAGAAGCAUUCUCAUCAUGGCCACUUAGCUUGCUCGAGAUUACACAGAACCAUGCCUCUGGUUUCCUGGUACAGUGCUCCGGCAGGUGACGGAUGCUCCUGGGUGACAUAUCACGGAUCUCUCUGAGGUGAGAUCUUCAUGAUUCUAUAUCAUAGGCAUCUCUUUAUCUUCAAGUUGGGCAACAUCAGCAGGGUUCCCAUGAGUAUGUGCCCAGCGAGGCUAUUUAGUUCCUCUUAUCUUUUUUUUUUUCUACUUGCCCUCGUUUUUCCUGAGAUUUUAUUUCCUUCCUAGCUGGCAUACCUUUCCCUGCUGUGGUAUUCAGACCUAAAUAGUGUGUGCACCUAUUACCUCUGCAGAGUAAUUACUGUUUGGUACCAUGGUAGAGUUUCUGUGUCCAGAUACGGUUGUGAAUGCUUGGAAUGUAACAUUGGGAAAGACAGAACUAUUGCUUGUAAGUGGAUUUGUGGACAUCAUGGUGCUAUGAGAAAACUAAGUUGAAGAUGCUCCUGCAUCUUGCUGGUUAAACUAGAUAUAAACCAGUUGCUUAAUAAUUCAUAGCCUAUCCUAUCUGUUUCCCACCCUCCUUAUCUUCCAGGGACUCAUUUAUUGAAUAACUC
RNAcentral lists this long non-coding RNA (1835 nucleotides) under Homo sapiens (human). RNAcentral's name for it is "HSALNT0030187". Lineage: Eukaryota; Metazoa; Chordata; Mammalia; Primates; Hominidae. The record is from RNAcentral.